Molecule: ribosomal RNA, 1514 nt
Filed under: metagenome
Description: bacterial LSU rRNA
Rfam family: Bacterial large subunit ribosomal RNA
Source: RNAcentral
CUGCAUGGCCGAAAGCCUCAGGUUUCUGGAGGAAGGUUCGUCCGCUCCAGGUUAGUCGGGAGCUAAGGUGAGGCCUAACGGCGUAGCCGAUGCACAGACGGUAGAGAUUCCGUCACCACCAAAAGAGUUAAACACAGGGACACAUUUGAAGUCUCGGAGCCGGGUGUUGGUUCCGGUAGCGAUCGAGGGAAAUUAGUACCGAAGUCCGGGAUGGAAGAUGGCGAGAAAAGCUGUGUGUAUUUCUGCGGUGCCCGUACCGCAAACCGACACAGGUAGGUAGGAAGAAGAUUCUAAGGCCAACGGGAGAAGGGUUGUUAAGGAACUUGGCAAAUUGACCCCGUAACUUCGGGAGAAGGGGUGCUCCAGAGAUGGAGCCGCAGAGAAUCGGCCCAAGCAACUGUUUACCAAAAACACAGGUUUGUGCUAAAUCGAAAGAUGACGUAUACGAGCUGACGCCUGCCCGGUGCUGGAAGGUUAAGAGGAGAUGUGCAAGCAUUGAAUCGAAGCCCCAGCGAACGGCGGCCGUAACAAUAACGGUCCUAAGGUAGCGAAAUUCCUUGUCAGGUAAGUUCUGACCCGCAUGAAAGGCGUAAUGAUUUGGGCACUGUCUCGACAGCCCGCCCGGCGAAAUUGUAGUACCGGUGAAGAUGCCGGUUACCCGCGACAAGACGGAAAGACCCCAUGGAGCUACUGUAGCCUAAUAUUGGGUUUCGAUGUUGCAUGCACAGGAUAGAUGGGACACUGGGAAGCAAGUGCUUUGGCAUUUGUGGAGUGGCCGUUGGGAUACCAUCCUUGCGAUAUUGGAAUUCUAGCCUGCGCCUUUGAAUCAAGGCGGGGGACAUUGUUAGGUGGGCAGUUUGACUGGGGCGGUCGCCUCCUAAAGAGUAACGGAGGCGUUCAAAGGUUCGCUCAGCUUGAACGGAAAUCAAGCAAAAGAGUGCAAACGCAGAAGCGAGCCUAACUGCGAGACUGACGGGUCGAGCAGUAACGAAAGUUGGAGUUAGUGAUCCGGUGGUAUGUGAGUGGAAAUGCCAUCGCUCAACGGAUAAAAGUUACCCUGGGGAUAACAGGCUGAUCUCCCCCAAGAGUCCACAUCGACGGGGAGGUUUGGCACCUCGAUGUCGGCUCAUCGCAUCCUGGGGCUGUAUUCGGUCCCAAGGGUUUGGCUGUUCGCCAAUUAAAGCGGUACGCGAGCUGGGUUCAGAACGUCGUGAGACAGUUCGGUCCCUAUCUGUCGUGGGCGCAGGAUAUUUGAUGGGAGCUGUUCCUAGUACGAGAGGACCGGAGCGGACGUACCUCUGGCGCACCAGUUGUUCUGCCAAGGGCAUAGCUGGGCAACUAUGUACGGAUCGGAUAAACGCUGAAAGCAUCUAAGCGUGAAGCCGACCCAAAGAUAAGAUAUCCCAUUGUUUCAAACAAGUAAGACCCCUUGAAGACUACAAGGUUGAUAGGCACGAUGUGUAAGUGGAGCGAUCCAUUCAGCAAGCGUGUACUAAUAGGUCGAGGGCUUGACC